GGUUCUGAGAGGAAGGUCCCCCACAUUGGAACUGAGACACGGUCCAAACUCCUACGGGAGGCAGCAGUGAGGAAUAUUGGUCAAUGGACGAGAGUCUGAACCAGCCAAGUAGCGUGCAGGAAGACGGCCCUAUGGGUCGUAAACUGCUUUUAUAAGGGAAUAAAGUGAGAGUCGUGACUCUUUUUGCAUGUACCUUAUGAAUAAGGACCGGCUAAUUCCGUGCCAGCAGCCGCGGUAAUACGGAAGGUCCGGGCGUUAUCCGGAUUUAUUGGGUUUAAAGGGAGCGUAGGCCGGAGAUUAAGCGUGUUGUGAAAUGUAGACGCUCAACGUCUGCACUGCAGCGCGAACUGGUUUCCUUGAGUACGCACAAAGUGGGCGGAAUUCGUGGCGUAGCGGUGAAAUGCUUAGAUAUCACGAAGAACUCCGAUUGCGAAGGCAGCUCACUGGAGCGCAACUGACGCUGAAGCUCGAAAGUGCGGGUAUCGAACAGGAUUAGAUACCCUGGUAGUCCGCACGGUAAACGAUGGAUGCCCGCUGUUGGUCUGAAUAGGUCAGCGGCCAAGCGAAAGCAUUAAGCAUCCCACCUGGGGAGUACGCCGGCAACGGUGAAACUCAAAGGAAUUGACGGGGGCCCGCACAAGCGGAGGAACAUGUGGUUUAAUUCGAUGAUACGCGAGGAACCUUACCCGGGCUUGAAUUGCAGAGGAAGGAUUUGGAGACAAUGACGCCCUUCGGGGCCUCUGUGAAGGUGCUGCAUGGUUGUCGUCAGCUCGUGCCGUGAGGUGUCGGCUUAAGUGCCAUAACGAGCGCAACCCCUCUCCUUAGUUGCCAUCAGGUUAAGCUGGGCACUCUGGGGACACUGCCACCGUAAGGUGUGAGGAAGGUGGGGAUGACGUCAAAUCAGCACGGCCCUUACGUCCGGGGCUACACACGUGUUACAAUGGCAGGUACAGAGAGACGGUCCCUUGCAAAACGGAUCAAAUCCUUAAAGCCUGUCUCAGUUCGGACUGGGGUCUGCAACCCGACCCCACGAAGCUGGAUUCGCUAGUAAUCGCGCAUCAGCCAUGGCGCGGUGAAUACGUUCCCGGGCCUUGUACACACCGCCCGUCAAGCCAUGAAAGCCGGGGGCGCCUAAAGUCCGUGACCGUAAGGAGCGGCCUAGGGCGAAACUGGUAAUUGGGGCUAAGUCGUAACAAGGUA
This 1200-nucleotide ribosomal RNA is filed under the name metagenome. RNAcentral's name for it is "bacterial SSU rRNA". It matches the Rfam family "Bacterial small subunit ribosomal RNA", at positions 288 to 1498 of the family's 1533-position model. The record is from RNAcentral.